CAUGACCUGUGCAAGAUGUAACCAUGGGUUCUGCUGGCGCUGCCUCAGGUCCUGGAAGCCAAGCCACAAGGACUACUACAACUGCUCUGCCAUGGUAAGCAAAGCAGCUCGCCAGGAGAAGCGGUUUCAGGACUAUAACGAGAGGUGUACCUUCCACCACCAGGCCCGGGUGAGCUUGGUCAGCGGGUGGAUCAUCAGAGGGCUGGGUGACUGCACUGGAGCCCAGGGGCAGCUUCCUGAAGUGCAGACCUCACGGGCUAUGACAACACUUGCCUCAUACAGGAGUUUGCUGUCAACCUGCGGAACCAGGCCUCUGCCAUCCAUGAGGUGCCUCCGCCCAAAUCCUUCACCUUCCUGCAAGACGCCUGCCGGGCCCUCGAGCAGGCUCGAAAGGUUGUACAGUGGGGGAGCAGGAAGGGAAGCGUGUGCCAAGGGGGCUGAGUGGACUUGGGUGCUUUCACCUGACUGCCUUGGAUGGAGAAACCCCGAAGAGGGGAGGGGAGGUGGAGGCUCACAAACUGCACGACGGCCAGAUGGUCUGGCUCUCAGGAAUCAUCAGGGGGAAGGAUGCUAGACCCGAGGCCUGGUAGCCUCUGCUCUGCUGCUCCUCAGACCCUCCUGUCUCCUUGUCAGGACUUCCGGGUCGGGCUGCAGAGUCCCUCAGUAGAGACCCGGGAGGUGAAAGGGUCCAACGUGCCCAGUGACCAGCCCCAGGGCUCCUCAGGACUGGAAGUGGAAGACGAGGAGGAAGAAGAGGAAGAGGAGGAGGAGGAGGAUGUACCUGAGUGGCAGCACGAGUUUGAUGAGGAACUAGACAAUGACAGCUUCUCCUACGAUGAGGAGUCUGAGAACCUGGACCGAGAGACCUUCUUCUUUGGCGAUGAAGAUGACGAUGAUGAGUCCUAUGACUGAGGGGGAGGGGCAGGAAACACCUGGAGCUGCCGGGGCAGCAGGGCCACGGGGCUGUCAUGUGAGAGGGGAACCCCAGUGUCUGAAGCACCUUCUGUUUACUGAAUAAACUCUUUUUUCACA
Molecule: long non-coding RNA, 1032 nt
Filed under: Rattus norvegicus (Norway rat)
Lineage: Eukaryota; Metazoa; Chordata; Mammalia; Rodentia; Muridae
Description: long non-coding RNA NONRATT029199
Source: RNAcentral